CCUACGGGAGGCAGCAGUGGGGAAUAUUGGGCAAUGGGCGCAAGCCUGACCCAGCAACGCCGCGUGAAGGAAGAAGGCUUACGGGUUGUAAACUUCUUUUCUCAGGGACGAAACAAGUGACACUACCUGACGAAUAAGCCACGGAUAACUACGUGCAAGCAGUCGCUGUAAUACGUCGGUGGCGAUCGUUCUCCGGAUUUACUGGGUGUAAAGGGCGUGUAGGCGGGACUGCAAGUCAGAUGUGAAAACGACGGGCUCAACCUGUGGCCUGCAUUUGAAACUGUCGUUCUUGAGUACUGGAGAGGCAGACGGAAUGCGUGGUGUAGCGGUGAAAUGCGUAGAUAUUAGGAGGAACACCAGUGGCGAAGGCGGUCUGCCGGAUACCCACUGACGCUGAGGCGCGAAAGCGUGGGUAGCAAACAGGAUUAGAUACCCCUGUAGUC
RNAcentral lists this ribosomal RNA (443 nucleotides) under uncultured bacterium. RNAcentral describes it as "partial 16S ribosomal RNA". It matches the Rfam family "Bacterial small subunit ribosomal RNA", at positions 338 to 795 of the family's 1533-position model. The record is from RNAcentral.